UGCCAAAGCUUCAUGUAGAGCCCUUCUCUCUUUUAUCACGAGUAAAAGUUCAGGUUUAAAAUAGAACAACGGAUGACUAAUGCCAUUUCCAGCUGUGACUGAAUUCUCCACUGCCUGAUGCUUUUCAAAUGUAUCUGAAUCAGAAUCGUAAGUGACAUGAUGGUACUGACCUCACAAUAGCAAUGGGCAUAAAAUGAUAAAGCAGCAAUAUUCCUGAGCUCUUGGUGGGUAAAUAGAGGGAAAAAUGAGUCUAUUUAAAAUUUUACAGGUUUUACAAUAAAAAUAUUGUGUUAUUUGUAUUUCUGCCCAAUACAGGAACACCCACUUUAUGCAUAGCUCCCUAAUCAGGAAGUUAUUCUUCCCAUCAAAGCAACUGGAAAGAAAAAAGAUAAAACAAUGAAGGGAGGAGAAAACACAAAAGUUCAAGAAGAGCAGAAUGUUCCGGCAAGGAGAAAAAGCUGGGAAAAGUCACCAAUGAAUGCCAGGGUUCACCACUAUCUUAGGAAUAUCAUGAAUAAAGCGUUAGAUUGGGUGUGCCCUAA
Long non-coding RNA from Homo sapiens (human), 542 nucleotides. NCBI's taxonomy places the organism in Eukaryota, Metazoa, Chordata, Mammalia, Primates, Hominidae. The record is from Ensembl.